This is a long non-coding RNA of Papaver somniferum (opium poppy), 799 nucleotides long. RefSeq lists it as uncharacterized. NCBI's taxonomy places the organism in Eukaryota, Viridiplantae, Streptophyta, Magnoliopsida, Ranunculales, Papaveraceae. The record is from RefSeq and is a predicted model, not a curated record. The transcript is spliced from 3 exons.
CGAAAGUGAGAGAGAGUGCAACCAAUCACUGGUGAUGUUUACGUACAAAUCAGACAUGAAGGAGGACGUUCUGAUUUCCUAUAUAUCUCAUUUUUCAGGGCUUCUGAGUAUUUCGACAAUCAUCCAAUUAAGAAUGUAGUUGGAGAAGAUGGUGAAGAGAUUGAUUGGGAAGGGGAAAUUGAUGACGGUUGGCUUAAGGAAAUUAAUUAUUUGGAAUGGGAGAGUUUUGCUUUUUAUCCUAGUCCGUUAAUUGUUCUCGUCUUUGAAAGAUACAACAGUAAUAGAAUUGAAGUAGCAUGCAUAUCAAGAGGUUGUUGCUUUGAAGAGGCAAGAGGAGCUCAUUCGUGAGAAAGAGGAGACUUGGCAAGAUGAGAAUGAGCAAAAAGUAAAUGGUGGAGCUGCUGACAAGGAAAAACGCUCCAAGGAAAAAUAGGUAUUAUGAUUAUCUCUAAAAUGACCAUUUUAUCGUCGGUUGGACUCAUAAGCUCAUGGUGUAAUUUCUUGUUUCUUUCUUAGCAAAAGCUCAUGGUGUAAUUUCUUGUUUCUUUCUUAGCAAAAGCUCAUGGUGUAAUUUGUAUUGUUUUCAACUUUCGUGCAAUCUUUUAUUGUACAAUGACUUCACAAGGAAGUAGACACUUUCUUGUACAGUGACGUUGACCAAACAAGUUUUCUUAUAAUUAUCUUUGGUCGUGUCUUCCAACUCCGCCACGUUCCAUUUUGGUGUGCUCGAGCAAACAAAAGCAUAAUGGUGGCUCACAAGACUAGAUGCUAAUGAAAUGCAAUGAUAUUUCAAAGCAAU